AUUGAACGCUGGCGGCAGGCCUAACACAUGCAAGUCGAGCGGAUGAGCGGAGCUUGCUCCUUGAUUUAGCGGCGGACGGGUGAGGAAUGCCUAGGAAUCUGCCUGGUAGUGGGGGAUAACGUUCCGAAAGGAACGCUAAUACCGCAUACGUCCUACGGGAGAGAGCAGGGGACCUUCGGGCCUUGCGCUAUCAGAUGAGCCUAGGUCGGAUUAGCUAGUUGGUGAGGUAAUGGCUCACCAAGGCGACGAUCCGUAACUGGUCUGAGAGGAUGAUCAGUCACACUGGAAGUGAGACACGGUCCAGACGACUACGGGAGGCAGCAGUGGGGAAUAUUGGACAAUGGGCGAAAGCCUGAUACAGCCAUGCCGAGUGUGUGAAGAAGGUCUUCGGAUUGUAAAGCACUUUAAGUUGGGAGGAAGGGCAGUAAGCUAAUACCUUGCUGUUUUGACGUUACCGACAGAAUAAGCACCGGCUAACUUCGUG
This 484-nucleotide ribosomal RNA is filed under the name uncultured bacterium. RNAcentral's name for it is "partial 16S ribosomal RNA". It matches the Rfam family "Bacterial small subunit ribosomal RNA", at positions 30 to 507 of the family's 1533-position model. The record is from RNAcentral.